UGCAACUGAUCAAGCUCAACAAUGUCUGCACCACAUAUCACUUCCACCUCCUCCGUCUCCUACUCUCCAUUACCCAUCCCCCCUUCCACCCUCCAUUCCAAUCAUCACCAUCCACAUCCACAACUCUCUGCACGCCAAAAUGUAAUUCUCCAAUAAAUAUAACCAUAGCACCACCUCGUCCCUAAAUCUGUUCAGAAUCUAGUGAUUACCGUAUCUCUCUCCAUGGUGCACAUCUUAACCAUGUAGUCUCCACUACUUUACUACACAACAGAGUUCUGAAAAAAUCAAGUGGUAUCGGACAUUCCAAUUCCUACGCAACCAAAAUAAACACAGAAGACCGCCUCCUACCCACUGCUUCCUCUAACUCUCGGCCCUCCCCCUCCUCCCCUACCCCUUCUCCUACACCACACCUACUGGCAGGUCACUCCAUUCCCAUCCGACCACUCGAUCGGCUCCUCGCCGCCUGUGGCUCCACAUUUCUGGACCAUGGUCAUGCAGCCAAAAUCCUGCCGCCUUUACUUUAACACUAGGUCGACACGCCUGCGCCCAUCCCAACACAAUCCCAUCGUCAGCCCCGCAACACAAAUCCCGCCACAAAUCACCCUCCCACCACCACUUCCUUCACGCAUCGCACGCACCUACUACCCGCCCCACAUCUCUACCCAUCAUGCGCUACCUCGACACCGCUCUUACCACUACUCUCCACCAUCUAAGCACCCCCUCCCCUCCCCCCGCACCCUCCGACCCCCCAUCAACAUCCAUGCUGGUAAUAUUUGCGANNNNNNNNNNNNNNNNNNNNNNNNNNNNNNNNNNNNNNNNNNNNNNNNNNNNNNNNNNNNNNNNNNNNNNNNNNNNNNNNNNNNNNNNNNNNNNNNNNNNCGCCUCGCCCCACCGGCGUCGGCCCGUACCGGCUGUCCCCGCGCCCCCCGUAUCCGCUCCCUCCUCCCGGACUCCCACCCCCGUAUCCUCCCUGGCUGUACCCCGAUCCGUAGUUGCCCCCGCCGCGACCGCCUCCGCCGAACCCCCCGCCAGCCCGCCCCGACCCCGCCGACAGCUCCUUCGGAAUCGCCUUCUUCACCUCCACCAUCUUGUCGUUCAGCUCGUGGAACGACUUCUGGAUCACGUUCUCAACUGCAUCCUCAGAAUCAAAAGUGAUGAAGCCAAACCCCCGAGGCCUUUGCGUAUUGUGGUCAUACAUAACAACCACGUCUGUAAUAGUACCAAACUGCUCGAAAUACUUUUUGAAGUCAUCCUCUGUAACUGUCGAGGCUAAGCCCCCCACAAAUAUCUUCUUUGUCCUAGUGUGGGAUGUUGCAGGCCCUUGGCCACCCACGCUGUUGCUCCUAGGUAUACUCUGCUGUUCGUCUCUCGGCACAGCUUUUUUCGCUUCCACCUAGAAUGGGAAAAAAAAAUAUUUAACAAAGACACGCUACACAAAGUUAUACAACUGCCACACAACCUCAUGCCACCAACCACCAUCACCACACGCACUCCCGCAUGCCACCCCCCUCCCAUGCAUUCAACUCCACCUCGAUCCCCCUUCGCCCGACACCUACCGCCCCCCUCCCUCCCUCCCACCCUCGCGCCCUACCGCACUGACCUCACCACGCCACCGGCCCUCCCCUCCCCUCCCCGAGUCCAAGACAGAGCGCUUACCGUUCUUCCGUCGAUGGUGUGCUUCUCGCCGGCCACCCGAUCGGCCACGCUCGGGUCCGCGAAUAUCACGAACCCGAACCCCCGCGCGCGCCCCGUCGCGCGGUCCUUCAUGAUCACCGUCUCCGCCACCUCGCCAUAGCUCUUGAAGUAAUCGCGCAGCUUCUCCUCCGUCGUCUCCCAAGAGAUGCCGCCGAUGAACAGCUUGCCCUGAUCGGAGUCCAUGGCCGCCGACCCGUCCUGGUCCGCCAGACUUCCCGCCCUCCUAACUCCCGCUGAAAUGAUCAGAAAAAUCGGACUCCACAAAACCCAUAUGCCCCUCGCAUACACAGAGGCUCAAAUACCCUUACGACAAGAUCAAAACAAGAGCAGCGGCAUCGACAAUUCCCAUGCAACGCGCGAACCAACAGGCCGCGGCGUAGCAGGGGAGGGAGGGAGCGGACGCGAGAGCCUAGGGUUAGCAGGAGACUGGAGCUCCGAGGAGCACUGAUUCAAAGACGGGGAGAGGGAGGGGCAGCCAAGAAGGCAAGAGUCGCGACGGGAAGGGAAGGGGAGGGAAGGCCAGUCCCCCCCCCCCUGGCUUGGGUUUCGCGAACGUCGGGAUCGCAUGAAGAUUUGGGCAGGUUCAUUCAUUGAUUACCAUUUCCUCUUACGGGGCAUUCACGCAAUUCUUUGUGCUCUCGGGGCAAUUGUGAAGCACAAUCGCCCUUGAUCACGAAUUUCGCUCUGUCUGUCUAGUUAUGUUCUUUCUGGUAUUCCUUUUUGGGUGUUGGAGAGUAACGGCAUUUUGCAAAAAAAUUCAACAUUCAUAACAUUUCAUGGAACCAUUGUGGGUUUGCUUUUAUUAUAACUAGAGGAAUAAUAUCUUUAUUUCUUUGUCUACCAAGCUUAUUAAAUUACAAAGGAAUCACUAUAUAUAUAUAUAUAUAUAUAUAUCUCCAUUAAUUUUAUGUAUCAAAUAAAUUUAAACAAAGUAUUUUUGUAAAAAAUUAUACAAUUUUCUACAAUAUAGAUGGUAUGAUCAUUAAUGGAUUUUUUUCUUUAAAGAUUACAAAUGUUCAAAUUACAUUUUAAUUUUAAAAAAUAAUAUGUAUAUUAAAAUUAAGAUUUUUUAUUUUUAUUUUUUUAAUAUAUAUUUAAGUCUUUUAUAUUAUUUUCAUUAUGAAAAUAUAUAUUAAAUAUCAACAUAUGUUAUUAAAUUUUUGUAAAGAAGAAAUUUAAUAUAGUCAUUUUUGUAUAAAUGUCACAAACAUACAUAUUUAUUCUAAUAAUUACUUAUAUGAUUAAGUAGAAAUAAGUAAAUAUAGAUUAAUUUCAUAAUAUCUUCUAGAAAAGCUUCUUAGAAGCAUCAUAGAUAUGGUUUUGACUUUACAUGUGUUUGUAGUUAAUAGGUAGGUUAGAAAUUUUGUCAACAAGUUAACCACAAGCUAUAUAUACUGGUAGCUUAUGAAACAAGCUUAUUAUAUGGCACACAUAUAGAAAACUUACUUUGUAAGACAUAUGUCUAGCAAAGUCAAUACACAUUGGAGGACUUAUAGAACAUCGUGACAUAACUCUUAGUUAGAUAGUAUAUGUGGAGGUAAGAGUGAAGUCUUGCUUUACUCAUGUCAAAGCCUUUUUAGUUCUUUGUCCUAUUUUUAGACUUUUUAAUCUACUUGUCUUUAGCAAUAGCCAUUCUAGUUCAAUAUAUUACCAUCUUUGAGUGAUUUCCUAGUCUUUUCAAGUAGUACAAGAAUGUAUUGAGAUUCUCUUUCUUUGAGGUUCAUAUUCUUGAUAAUUUGAUAAAAGUGUUAACUUAUUAUUCUUGUCUUGUUUUAGAAAUGAGUAGUUUAUCCGACUUUUAUUAUUGUAUUUAAAAAAUUGUACCUAUAAACAAACCGUUUAGUUUUUUAAUAUUGAUUUUUUUCUUAAAAAAAGUAAUUUUUUUUUAUGGAAUUUUUUAUUUGAUAUUAAAGGUUGCAGAUUACCUUCUUCUAAUUUAACUUUUUGAAUUUGUUUGAGUUAUCUAUAAAAGAAAAAGAUUAUAGAUACAACUAUCAAUAAAAUUGAGAAUAGAUGUGUAUCAUGGACAUAUAUAUUCAUUCUAAUAUUUACUUAUAUGAUUAAGUAAAAAUAGAUAAAAGUAGAAUUAUUUCAUAAUAUUUUUUAGAAAAAGCUUCGUAGAAGCUUAAUGGAUGUUAUUUUCACUUUACAUAGGUUUGUAGUUGAUUGAUAGGUUAGAAACUUGGUCAAUAAGUUAACCUCAUGUUGGUAGCUUCAAAAAUAAGCUAAUUAUGUGGUCCACAUAUAGAAAACUUACCUUGCAAGUUAAGAUACAUAUCUUGCAAAGUUAAUACAUUUUGGAGGUCUUGUAGGACAUUGCCACAUAGCUCUUAGUUAAGAAUAUGUAUGGAAGCAAAAAUAAAGCCUUCUUCACUCUUAUCAAUGCCUUUCUAGUCUUUAGUCUUGUUUCAAGACUUUCUAGUCUUUUUAUCUUUGGCAAUAACCAUUCUAAUUUAAUACUAUAUCAUCUUUGAAUGACUUUCUAAUUCUUUUGAGUGAUAUAAGAGUGUAUUUAAGAUUUCUUUAUUUGAGAUUCAUAUCCUUGAUAGUUUAGCAAGAAUUCUAACUCAUUAUUCUUAUUUUUUUAGAAGUGAGUGGAAUAUCUCACUUCUACUAUUGUAUAUUAAAGGUUGCAGAUUAUCCACCUAUAAAUAAACAAUUUGAUUUUUUAAUACUAAUUUUUUCCUUAAAAAGAGCAGAUUAUCUUUCUUUAUGGAAAUUUUCAUUUUAUAUUAGAGAUUGUAAAUUACCUUCUUCUAAUUUAAUUUUUUAGAUUUAUUAAAUUAUUUAAAAUAGAAGGAAAAAUUAUAAAUGUCAUACUUAGCAGAAGUGAGAAUAUAUUUACAAAUAUUAUACAUCUUCACAAAUUUGUCAAUAUUCUUAGCAUGAAAAUUUUACACAUCACUAGUGCCAACCAAAGAAACAUUAAUCCUAUAUCUAUAAAAGAAGUUCAAAGUCUACAAUAAGAAGUUGUAUAGUUGAAAAAAAUAAGUAAAUUGACCUCACAACCAAGUCUAGAAAGUUUUGUUUCUAUAAGUGCAAUAAAGUCAAGGAUUAGUAUGCUCGAAAAGUUUGAUGGAAUAAGAUCAAAAUUUCACGGAUUUUUGCAAUAAAUCAAGCUCUAUCUAAGGUUGCAUUUCUUCUAAUACCUUAAUGGAUUUAUUCAAGUUGGAUUUAUAGACUCAUUUUUAUUUGGAAGUGCUUUCUUUUGCUUUACACCUUUGAUGAAAAAAGAUUUACAACUCCUUUAUGAUUUCAAUUCAUUCCUAGAAAUGUUUAUCGCCACAUUCAAAGAGAAUAAUUGAGAAAGAGUAGUAGAGACCAAGCUCUUAUUUUUAUGAUAAGAAUAAUAAUUAGCCACUAUAUAUGCUAUUUAAUUCCAAAACCUUGCAUACAACAUGGAUUGGAAUAAUAAAGCCUUUAUUAAUUGAUUUUGAUAUAGAUUGAAGUAAAAUGUCAAAAUUUUGUUAUUAACAAUAUCAAAAAUAAAAUCUUUGGAACAAUUUAUUGCUCAAGCCAUUGCAUAUGACAAUCAAAUAUUUGAAGGGCAUUAAGAAUAAAGAUUUGGUUGGAGAGGAAUAAAUCAAGUACUAACAACAGCUCCUAAGUUUUUUGAAACUUAUUCAUUAAGGCCAAAAUCAAUACAAAUUGAUAAGAUACAUUUUAAAUCUCUUAUUAAACAAAAACAAGACUUGUAGUUGUCAAGAAGGUUUGUAGCUAUAUUAUCAAGCAUACUAUUCAAUAUUAUCAAAAAAAACAACACAAUCAUAAAAUAAAGAGUAUGGUUGCCAAAGAAGAUGAUGUAUCAAAAAAUAAGUUUUUCCAACUAUAAUAAAGACCAUGUGGUUAGAAUCUUACACAAUUGUUAAUAAAUAUCCUAUUCUCUAUUUAAAUUCCUCACUUUAUUUUAAAAUAAAAGUAUUUUUAGGACCAUAAAAUCACAAAGUCUUAACCUUAUUAGAUUUUAGAAUCUUAUCAUGUUCUAUAAAUAAAGACUUUGUCAAAAAAUAAGAUAUAUCUUUAAUUAAGAAAAUCAAACCUAUACAUCUAGAAAUAAUAGAUGGUCGUUCAUUAUCUUUUAGAAAUACUACACAUAAAAUUAUUCCUAUAAAAGUAGCAACUAGUAUUUAUAAUAGUUUAAUAAUAUUUAAUGUCAUUAAAUUUUAUUUUAAUCUAAUUAUUUUAAGAUUAUCAUGAUUAGAUAGGUAUAAUUCUUAGAUAGAUUAAAUUUUUUGGGAUCUUGAUUUUUUCCAAAGUUUAGUUCAAGGUUCUACUAGGCAAGUAAAAAUCCAUAAGAUCAUUGCAUCCAAAUCAUUAUUUCUGAGUGCAAGAACUUUUAUACAUGCUGCAAAAAAAGGUUCAACUUUUGUUAUAUAUACCACACCUAUUUUUGACGGAAAAAAGAUUUUAAGUAGCAUUCCAAGCCAAUAUCAAGAUUAUUAAGAUAUCUUUUAAAAAAAAAAUGUAAAUAUUUUUUCAAAGCAUUAUUCUUAUGACUGUUCUAUUGAUCUUCAAGAAUGAGCUUAACCACCAUUUGAACCAAUCUAUAGCCUAUCAUAGAAUAAAUUAGUUUUGUUUAAGGAAUAUAUUCAUAAAAAUUUGGCUAAGAACUUCAUAUGCUAUUCUAAAUCUCCAAUUAAGUCUUCUAUCUUAUUUAUGAAGAAAAAAGAUAGAUCUCAAUAAAUGUGCAUGGACUAUCAAGGACUCAACAAGAUUACUAUAAAAAAAAUCCUCUAUUCUUGAUUUUAAGACUUCUUAAUUAACUAAAUUAAGCAAAGAUUUAUACAAAAUAGAUUUAUAUGGGGCAUAUAAUCUUGUAUGUAUUAAAAAAAGAGAUAAAUAGAAAAUUAUAUUUUGAAUAGAAUGUCAUAUCUUUUGGAUUCACAAAUGCACUAGUGUCAAGGACAAGAACUCAAUGAAAGCUAAAGAGUAAGUGAGACUUUUCUCAAAAAGAAAUAGGACAAAAUAGAAAUAUGUAUAUUAAGAAAGAAACUGGAAUGGCUAUUGCCAAAAUACAAGAAAACUAGAGACCCUUGAAACUAGACUAGAAGCAAGAAAGGAGUUGACAAGAGUGAAGAGGGCUUCACUCUUGCCUCUAUAUAUACUAUCUAACUAGAAGCCACGUGGCGAUGUUCUAUAAGACCUCCAAUAUAUGUUGACUUUCUAGGCCACAUGCCUUUGCUUGCAAGGCAAGUUUUCUAUGGAUGGACGACGUAGUUAGCUUGUUCUUUAAGCUUCCAACAUGUGUGGCACAUGGCUAACUUGUUGACCAAGUUUCUAACCUAAAAGUCAACUAUAGACUCCUAUAAAGUCAAAGCAGAGUCUAUGAAGCUUCUAAGAAGCUUCUCUAGAAGAUAUUAUACAAUUAACCUACUUUUAUCUACUUUUACAUACUUUUAUCUAUUCAUAUAGGUAAUUAUAUGUAUGUCCGUGACAUUACCCCCCCUUCUAGGGACGAGUUCCACGAGGAGCGGUGAUUAUAUAUUGAGAAAAUCUAAUAUGCGACGAAUUGUAUUUGCUACAUACUCUGAUCUUUGUUCUCUUCGAAGAUAGUUGAUGGGUCCUCUUAGCCAUCGAUAGUGUCCCAUUCCAGGGCGAGAAGACCACCCUGUUAUUUGAUCACUGUUGAGGCCUUCAUAACUUCCUUCAAAUAAUACAUUUGAAACACCAUCAGGAGUCGUUUCUAUCUCCAAUAAAAUCACCAAACAUCGAAAAUCUCUUCCAAGGUCGUGAUACCAAACGCGUUGUAUCUCACCAUCUAUUCGAGGAAGAACAUGUCGUUCUUGAGGGUCUUCAUCUCGGUUGCGUCGUCUUGAAGGUUGUGACAAUCGCAAUGUCUCAUCCGGUAAGUCAGCAAACGAAGGUUCUUGAGUUGAAUCCGCUUGUUGUUGGCUCUCCAUCUAAUUAGCGUCACAAAAUGCAAAGAAGUUACAAACAAGGAUAGGAAAUUGAAUGUUAUCUUGCCUCAAUCUUGUCUCUUUUAUAAGAGAGGUUUUCAUCUUGGUUUUGAUGGAUGUCGUUGAUGAAAAACUUUGACUUUAGUUGAUGCAUUUGCUAGAUUCCUGGAUGGCUCCCAUGUGCGCUCACUAAUAUCAUAUCCGCACCAAUGAACAAGAUAUUCCAGCUUAUUUCGGCGUCGCCUUGAGUCUAAUAUCUCUUCCACCUCAAAUUCUUCAUUAUUAUCUACUUCUAUAGGAGGCGGUGGCAUUUGUCUUCUUCCUUGUAUAUCCACUGUCUUAUAUGGUUCAAGAAGAGACACGUGGAAUACAGGAUGGAUCUUCAUUGACUCCGGUAGAUGUAACCGAUAUGCAACUGGGUUGAUCUGUUCAGAAACAAAAAAGGGGCCAAGCCUACGAUAGUCCAAUUUGUCACAAGGUCGAGUGGUCUUGAUAUUGCGACGAAGUAGCCAUACCUUAUCACCCACGUUGAGUUGUGGUUGCUCUUUACGAUAUACAUCUGCAUUUAUCUUUUGUCGUUCUUGAGCUUUCUUCAACUGCGCCUUCAUUAUUGCAUGUAACUCUGACAACCGAUUUGCCAUAUCUUCUGCUGCAGGAUUAUCAACUUUUGAAAAAUCAAAAGUAUCAAGUCGUGGAUGAUAGCCAUAAUUGGCAAAGAAAGGUGUUUGUUGCGUGGAGGAAUGUACCGUAUUAUUAUAAGCAAACUCUGCCAAUGGCAGAAGGUUUGUCCAAUCAUCUUGUUGGUAGUUGAUGGUACACCUUAAAUAUUGCUCCAAGACUUGGUUUACGCGCUCUGUUUGUCCAUCAGUUUGAGGAUGGAAAGCUGAAGAUAGCUUUAUGUCCACUUUUAAAAUCUUGAAAAGAGUCCUCCAGAAUCUCGACACAAAUUGAGUUCCCCUAUCCGAUAUGAUAUCUUUAGGUAAUCCAUGAUAGCGAUAGAUAUUAUCAAUGAAAAGCUUAGCUGUUUCUUCACCUGUGAUAGAUUUUGUACAUGGCAUAAAAUGUGCCAUCUUGGUGAAACGAUCUACUAUCACAAAUAUAGAAUCAUAAGAUCUUGAGUUUGGAAGAUCUGUGAUGAAAUCCAUAGAAACAGAAGACCAUGGUUGUUCUGGUAUAGGUAAUGGCUGAAGAAGUCCGUAAGGUCGAUGUCGAGGAAUUUUUGAUCUUGAACAAAUAUCACAUGAUUGUACAAAGUCUUUGACUGACUUCCACAUUUGUGGCCACCAAAAAUCUCUUGAUAUGAGUUCCAGAGUCUUAUUAUAUCCAAAGUGCCCUGCUGCUGGAAAGUCAUGACGUGCUUGAAGAACACGCAAACGUGCUUUUCCUUCUGGAACAUAUAGGCGUCCUUCAAAAUAUAAUAGAUUAUUCUUGAACUCGAACUUAGAAGAAUCAUGAGACUUGGAAGAAUUAUUCUCGAUAUCAUGAACAAGAGGGUCUGAGGACAUACUGGACUGGAUUUGCUUGAGAAAAGUUGAAUCAACAGUCAAUGUUGAUUUCACUGCUCGGAGAUGAAAUUGCUCUGGUUUCAAGAGGACCGUUCUUUGUUGCUCAAAAGCUGCAUCUCCUUCUUUUGGUGCAAAAUAAGAACGUCUAGACAGGGCAUCAGACAAACCUUGUUGUUUUCCUGGCCGAUAAGUGAUAAUGAAGUCGAAUCUUGACAAAGACAUACUCCAACGAGCUUGACGACGAUUCAACACGGGUGCUGACAUGAAAUACUCGAGGUUCUUGUGAUCUGUAUACACAGUGAUUGGACUAGAAGCACCUUCUAAAUAAUGACGCCAUUCUUGAAAGGAAUCCACGAUUGCAAGAAGUUCUUUAUCGUGGAUCUCAUAAUUGAUCUCGGCUGCUGAGAAUUUUCUUGAAUGAAAAGCUAUCGGAUGAAGUUUGUCAUCUGUUCCCAUUUGUGAUAAAACUGCACCCAAGGCAAAAUCCGAUGCGUCUGUUUCCAUAAAAAAUACCUUGGAAAAGUCAACACGAUAUAAGACUGGUGCAGAGACAAACGAUGUCUUCAAGGCUUCAAAUGCUGCUUCCGCUUCUUGAUUCCAUUGGAAUUUAUCUUUACUAGUCAAGCGUGUAAGUGGAGCUGCAACUCGUGAGAAGUCUUUGAUGAAGAUCCGAUAGUAAUUGGCAAAUCCCAAGAAACAUUGGACAUCUCUUACAGUCUUUGGAAUCUUCCAAUCCAUGAUUGUUUGGACUUUCUUAGAAUCCAUCAUAAGACCAUCAUUUGAAAUGAUGUAUCCUAAAAAGUCAACUUGAGUAGUGUGAAAUACACACUUUUCCAUCUUGGCGUACAAUCCUGCAUCUCUGAGUUUUUGUAAUACUUGACGAACAUGUAUUUCAUGUUCUUCAACAUUCUUAGAAUAAAUCAGGAUAUCGUCUAGGUAGCAGACGACAAAAUUGUCUAAGAAUUCACGAAAUACAUCAUUCAUGAGAUGUUGAAAAGCAGCUGGUGCAUUCGUGAGUCCAAAAGGCAUGACAUUAUAUUCAAAAUGCCAGUACCUGGUUCGAAACGCAGUCUUCCAUUCAUCUCCUUCUUUGAUCCGUACUAGAUUAUAUGCUCCUCUUAGAUCUAUUUUUGUAUAGAUCUUAGCUUGAUUUAACUGGUCAAGGAGUCCUGAUAUCAAAGGUAAUGGAUACCUGUUCUUGAUUGUGAUCUUGUUGAGUCCUCGAUAGUCAACACACAUUCGUAAAGAUCCAUCUUUUUUCUUUACGAAUAAAAUUGGAGCUCCUGCUGGAGAUUUUGAAUGGCGUAUGAAAUUCUUCGCUAAAUUCUCGUCAAUAUAUGUCUUGAGUUCAGCCAACUCAUCUUGCGAUAAACUGUAAAUUGGUCCAAAUGGUGGCUGAGUUCCUUCCUUGAGAUCGAUUGAACAAUCGUAUGGGCGAUGCUCAGGAAGAAUAUCUGCAUUCUUUUUCUCAAAAACGUCUUGAUAAUCCUGAUAUUGACUUGGAAUGCCACUUGAAGUCUUUACGUUUUCAGAAAUAGGUGCAGCAUAAAUAGCAAAAGUUGAUCCUUCUUUUGCUGCGUGUAUAAAUGCUUUUGCACCUAUAGGUGCGAGUUUUACUAUACUAGACUCAUGGUUUUUUACUUGGUUAAUAGAACUGUUACUAAUGCUCUGAGGAAAAUCAAGUUUACGCGAAAUCCAAUCUAUUCGAGGAUUAUACUUUUCUAACCAUGAUAAGCCUAAAAUUACUGGAUUAGAGGGAGAUCUAAUUAUAUUAAAAAUUACGCAACUACUAUGACCAUUUAUUACUACAUCUACAGGAAGUGUUUCGUGAGUUACAUCUCCAGAAGACAACGGACGACCAUCUAUGACUUCUACGUGUACAGGUUUAGUUUUUUGUAUUAAUGAUAUUCUAUGACAUCUAGCAAAUUCUUCAUCUAAAAAACAAGAUGAGGCUCUUGAAUCUACCAAGGCAGAGGCUUUGUAAUUAUUAGGUCCUAAACGCACAUCUAUUAUAAAACAAGGAGAUGGUUCUGAGGAGAGGAUAGGACCUUCAUUAGAAGUUGUACAAGAUUCCAGCCGCACGGUCCCUAUUGUAGCUGGACGUACUCGUUUUCCGACAUACUGUCUUCUUUGACAGCCGUACUCCUCAUUUUGUAGUUACGUCGCUUCUUUGGACAAUGUUGAGCAGUGUGCUUAGGUUCUCCACUAUAUAAGCACAAUCCUUCUUGUCGACGACGAGACUUUUCUUGCUCAGUAAGAGGUUUGAAACGUACCGCAUCAAUUUGCAUAUCCUCUACUUCUGAAGGUAUGUGUUGAGGAGACGUCGGUGUUGCCAUUGAAUUGUAGUAACGUUGAGGCCCACUUGUGCGACUCUCGGAUCAAAAUUCAAAAAGUCGAUUGUCGCACUUCACAGCAAAGUCAAUUGCUUGACUCAAUGUUUGAGGAUCAGGUAAAUUAAGCAUCAAUUUCUUUACCUCAUAUUGUAAUCCGUAGAGAAAUUGACUCACAAGUGCGGCAUCAUCCCACUUGAUAUCAGUUGCAAGUUGUCGAAAUUGCGAAGCAUAUAAUGUUACUGAUCGAUUGCCUUGUCGCAAAAUACGGAUCUUGUUGGUUGCAACACGAAUUGCAUCAUGUUCUCCAAACAUGGAUCGAAACUCCGCCAAAAAAGCCUCCAGAUUAUCCAAUAUUGGAUCUCGUCGUUCAAGAAAAGAUGAAAACCAUGACAAUGCUGAACCUGAAAGAAGUGUACCAAUGAAUCUAACUUGUGACCCUAGAGUUGGAUAGCUCUGGGGUUGAAGUUCAAUCACUAGUUGGACCUGAUUGAUGAAUCCUCGAAACUUGGAUCUGGUACCAUCAAACUUCUCGGGCAAGGCAACUCUCGGUUCUCUAACACUCGAACGGUGUUCCAUUCUGGGAGAAGGGACAUGGUUUGGUGCAGAUGUUGAAGCAGCCCCAAUCAUCUCUAUAUCUUCACUUCCUACCAUUCUUGUUGCUCCUUGUGGUGGAAAAUUGAGUUGAUGCAUCGCAAGCAUUAACUCCCUCAAUUGUUCUUGCAUCUGUGCCAUUGCACUCUUCAUUUCAACAAGCUCUGCCAUAGUAGCACUUAGAAAAGAGAAGAUGUCUAAUAACGCUCAAAACAAAUAGAAGAGAGGAAUUGAUAACAAAGAAAAUACUAAGAACAAUAUCAGUUUAAAAGAGGGUAAUCCGCAACUUCUAAUGCGCUUAUGUCUUAUCAAAAAAAAGGGGUAAUCCACUCUUAAUCAAGAAAAGACAAAGCUCUGAUAUUGUAAGUGCACUCUUGUCAAUUUGUCAAGGACAAGAACUCGAUGAAAGCUAAAGAGUAAGUGAGACUUUUCUCAAAAAGAAAUAGGACAAAAUAGAAAUAUGUAUAUUAAGAAAGAAACUGGAAUGGCUAUUGCCAAAAUACAAGAAAACUAGAGACCCUUGAAACUAGACUAGAAGCAAGAAAGGAGUUGACAAGAGUGAAGAGGGCUUCACUCUUGCCUCUAUAUAUACUAUCUAACUAGAAGCCACGUGGCGAUGUUCUAUAAGACCUCCAAUAUAUGUUGACUUUCUAGGCCACAUGCCUUUGCUUGCAAGGCAAGUUUUCUAUGGAUGGACCACGUAGUUAGCUUGUUCUUUAAGCUUCCAACAUGUGUGGCACAUGGCUAACUUGUUGACCAAGUUUCUAACCUAAAAGUCAACUAUAGACUCCUAUAAAGUCAAAGCAGCGUCUAUGAAGCUUCUAAGAAGCUUCUCUAGAAGAUAUUACACAAUUAACCUACUUUUAUCUACUUUUACAUACUUUUAUCUAUUCAUAUAGGUAAUUAUAUGUAUGUCCGUGACAACUAGCUACUUUUCAACAUCUAACAAAUGAUGUCAUUUAUGAAUUCUUUGAUGAUUUUAUCAUCUAAUAUUAUAAUAACAUCUUAAUCUAAUCUAAAAACACAAAAGAGUAUGAAGUUUAUAUUUGUUGUUUAUUACAAAAACUAAAAGAUACAAGAUUAUAUGCAAAGAUGAAAAAGUGUGUAUUUUACACUACUUAAGUUGAUUUUUUUGGAUAUAUCAUUUCAAAUGAUGGUCUUAUGAUAGAUUCUAAGAUGAUUCAAACUAUCAUAGAUUAGAAGAUCUCAAAAAUAAUCAAAAAUGUACAAUAUUUUUUGAAAUUUGAAAAUUAUUAUCAAAUCUUCAUCAUGAACUUUUUUCAAGUUGUUGCUCCUCUUAUAUGCCUAACAUAUAAAGACAAAAUUGAAUGGAGGAAAGAAGUUGAAGGAUCUUUUGAAGCCUUAAAGACAUCAUUUAUUUUAGUAUUAAUUUUAUAUUGUGUCAACUUUUUAAAAGCAAUCUUUAUAGAAAUAAAUACAUCAAACUUUGUCAUGGAUGUUGCUUUCUCAUAAAGAGGAGCAAAUCACAAGCUCCAUCUAGUAGUUUUUUAUUCUAAGAAAUUUUCAAUAGCCAAGAUUAAUUUUGAAAUCCAUGACAAAGAGUUUUAUUGCAAUUUUGGAUUUAUUUCAAAAAUGGCAUCAUUAUCUAAAAUUUUCUUCUAGUCCAAUUAUUGUAUAUGAAGAUCACAAGAAUCUUGAAUAUUUUAUGUCAACACAUGUUUUGAAUUAUCACAAAGAUUGUUGGAGCAUGUCUUUAUCAAAAUUUGAUUUUAAGAUUACUUAUCAAUCCAAAAAAAUAAAAAUGUUUGUCAAUGGCCCUUUAUAAACCUUCUUAUCUUACACUAAAAGAAGAAGAUACAACUUUUGAUCAACAAAGAAUAAUUCGCUUAAAACUAGAGCAUUUUCAUCUUUAAACAAUAUAAUCAAUAUUGACUAUUGAUUCAUCUUUUGUCAAACAAAUUCAAUUAAGUAUGUCUUUCAAUCCUCUUCUUCAUGAUAUCAAGAAUAAUUCUUUUAAUUCUCAAAAUACUUUCAAGUUUGAAUUUAAAAAUAAUCUAUUCUAUUUUAAAAAAUAAUUAUAUAUUCUAAAAAGCAAAGCACGAUUACAUAUAUUUUAAAUUUGUUAUAACUUUUUAAUAAUCAAAUAUUUUGGAUAUAAUAAAAUUUUAAAGCUAAUAUUAAGAGAUUUUUGGUGGCUUCAAAUGCAAAAGGAAAUUAAAGACUUUCUACAAUCAUGUUAUAUUUGUUCAGGAUAAAAAACUCCUUGUUAUUGACUUUAUGGACUUUUCUAGCCAUUACCUAUUCCACAACAAUCAAGGUCUUUUGUUUCAAUGAAUUUUAUUAAAAAUAUUUUAAUUUCAAGUUUGUAUGAUUUUAUAUUUAUUAAAGUAGAUCAUUUUACUAAAAUGUCACAUUUUAUACUAUGUAUAAAAUAUAUCACAUGUGAAAAAAAUAGCUAAGCUUUUUCUUAAUAAUAUCAAUUACUAUCAUGAAUUGUCUAAAGAUAUUGUAUUGAAUAAGACUCAAUUUGUAUCAAGAUUUAAGAAAAUUAUUUUAAAUAUUCUAAAGUUAGAUAUAAAGCUUUUUUUGACUUUUUAUUCUUAAAUUGAUAAAUAAAUAGAACAAGUGAAUGAAGUUCUAAAGUAAUAUUUGAAGUAUACCAUCAACUAUCAUCAAGAUGAUUGAACAACUCUUUUGCUAUUGGUGGAGUUUGUAUAUAAUAAUUCAAUAUAUUCUUCUAUUCAACAAAUACAUUCUUUUUUAAUUAUGGUUGUUAUCCAUGACUUGAUACUUUUGACUUUUCAAAAGUUAAUAAUCAUGCAACAAAAGAUUUAGUAAAUUAUUUGUCAAAGCUAUAUACAACAAUGAAGGCAAAAUUAACAAAAAGAUAAAAAUAAUAAAAGAUCAAUGUGGAUGCCUAUUGCAAGGAAAAACUACAAUUUAUUGUAGGUGAUAAGAUAUGACUACUUCAUUGCAUUAUCAAGACUAUUCAUCUUUGUAAUAAGUUGGACUAUUGUAGGCUUUGAUCUUUUUCUACUUAUAAAUAAGUCAAUCUUAUUCCUUAUCAAUUACAUCUACUGGAGUCUAUGAAGAUCUUAUCAUGGACAUAGGCAUGUAAGCCAAUAAUUACAUGUAUAAAUAGGUAUAAGUAAGUAAAAGUAGGUAAAAAUAAGUUAAUUCUAUAAUAUUUGGUAUAGAAGAUUCUUAGAAGCUUCAUACACAUUGCUUUGACUUUAUAGGUGUUUUUAAUUGACUUUUUGGGAUUAAAAACGUGGUCAAUAAGUUGGCCAUGUACCACACAUAUUGUUAGCUUGAAGACCAAGGUAACUAUGUGGCCCACACGUAGAAAAACUUGCCUUGUAAGUCAAGGCAUGUGUCCUACAAAGUCAACACAUAUUGAAGGUCCUGUAGAACAUUGCCACGUAGCCUUUAAUAAGAUAGUAUAUAUAAAGACAAGAGUGAAGCCUUCUUUACUCUUGUCAACUCUUUUCUUGCUUCUAGUCUAGUUUCAAGGGUCUCUAGUUUUCUUUUGGCAAUAGCUAUUCCAGUUUCUUUCUUAAUAUACAUAUUAAGUUAUUUCUAUUUUUUCAUCUUUCUUUGAGAGUAGUCUCACUUAUUUAUUUGACUUUAUCAUGUUUUUGUCCUUGACACAUCUAUUUCAUAUUCUAUAUAUAUAUUUUUUUAGCCAUAUAAAAUAAUGAACAUUUUAAAAUGAAGACAAAUGCUACCACGUCCUAUAAAAGUGGAUAUUAAUCAAGACUUCAAGGUGGAAGAAGAUUUAUAUUCAAGGUGAUGCCAAAAUAUAGUGUCUCAAAAUAUAUUAUUUUAAUGUUGACAUAUUUUAGAAAGAAUAGUAUAUUACAAAUGAAUUGUAGUGAAUAAUGACAUGUGGUUUGUAUAGCAAAUAAAGUAUUCUUUUAUAGCUAUCAAAUGAGCCCAAAUUAAAAAGAAUCCAUUAAAUAAUUAGAAAGCUAUGACCAAUCUAAUUUAGAAUACUAUUAAAAUAAUUUUUUGAAUGUAGGAUCUAAUUUUUGGAUUCUAUCAAUUACUCAAUAUUAUAAUAUUCUAUCAUUAUUAGAUUUACUAUAAAAAUAUUAUUAUUAAUCUAAUAACAUCAUUAAUGCUCACUAGCAGUUAUAAAAGUACCAUUCUUAAUCACAAUUUCUAGUAUGGACGUAUUUCAAAUUAUCACAUUUUAGUACCUUCUAAAAUCUUCUACAAUAUUUUAAAAAAUUCCAUAGGCUUUUGGAAGCCUCUUUAGACUUCUAAAAGCUUCUAUAGAUUUCUAAAAACUUCCAUAGAAAAUACCAUAGACUUUUAUAACCUUCAUUAUAGUAUAAAUAGAAGUUUUUUGAACCACUUUUGCUAUUAAUAUUAUUCUUUGUCUUUAAUCUUGAAAUAUUUCUUUAUCAAAUCCUUGAUAAUUCUUUAAAUAACUUUGAGAUAUAUUUUUUACUCUUUCCAAGACAACAUCACAUCUACACUUCUUUAUUCUCAAAAAUCUUAUGGCCAAAUUGCUUCUGAACUUAGCUGCUAUAAAGCUAUUAUCUCUAGGGUAGCAAAAAAGAUUACUUUUAAUUAGGCAGAUCAAAGAAAUUCACUGCAGUAGAUAAAAAGGCAAUUAUUUUCCAAAUCAACUCUUAAAAGGCUGAAAAUAUUAUUGAGGUUGCUAAAAAAUUUAACAAUAUUAUCAGUAAUCUCCUACCAAUUCAAACCAUUCAAAAUAUUCUUAAGAAAUGGAAUAUGAAAGUUGUUGUGAAAAAAAAAAAAAAAAUCCACUAUUAUUUACUUACUAUUGAAAAUAAUGCUUGGAUUUUGCUUUAAAAUACAAGGAAUGGACUAUGGAAAAUUGGAAGAAGAUUAUUUGAUUAGAUGAAAAAAAAUCAACAGAUUUUGAUCAGAUGGCAAAAAGUGGAUGUAGAAACAAAAGGGUCAAUUCUUACUUGACAAGAAGAUCCAAGAAACAAUUAAGCAUAGAAGUAGAAAUAUAAUAGAAUGAGAUUAUAUGAGAUGGAAUGGAAUUAAAAAGAUAGCAUAGGUUGAGUGAAAUAUGGAUGCCAAGCAAUUUGUAGAAAUUCUUGAAAAAGAAUCUGCUCCCUAAAAUUUAAGAAUCUCGCAUAUAUGAGGAAGAGGUAAAUUUUCAGCAAGAUAAUGACCUCAAGCAUAACUCAAAACUAACAAAAAAGUGGUUUGUUCAUCAUAUGAUUAAAUUAACAAAUUGACAUAUUCAAUCUCUUGAUCAUAAUUCCAUUGAACAUCUUUGGGAGCACCUCAAAUGCCUACUCAACAUUUGGAAGAUAAAAUCAAUGGAAGUUUGGAAAUUAUGAAAAAAAAAAUUGUAGAAUGAAAUAAUAUUGAAGCAAUUUUGUGCCAAAAGUUAAUAAAAAGUAUGUAUAGGAGGUUGGAAGUAGUUAUCAAGGCCAAAGUAGGUCUUACAAAGUAUUGAUAUAUAUUUGGAUACCACAUUCAAAAAAAUAUUUCAAUACUAUUCCAAAUUAGAUUGGUCAUAGUUUUACAAUUACCUAAUGGAUUUUUUUCAAUUUAUACUCAUUUGAUAGCUGUAAAAGAGUAUUUUAUUUCCUAUACAAAUCAUAUCUCAUUAUUUAUUACAACUCAUCUAUAAUACAUCAUUCUUUUUAAAAUAUGUCAACUUUGAAAUAAUUUUUUAAAUCAUUGUAGGUUAGAAUAUCUUGUUCAUUGGCAUGGAUAUGAUAUCAAUGAAUGCGCAUGGGAGCCAACAAGUUUUUUUGCAAAUGCAAAAAAAAAAAUUGAAGCUUUUUAUUAAUAAUAUCCAUUAAAAUCAAGAUUAAGAAUAAAAAAAAUUUAUUAUAAAAGAAACAAGAUUAAAAAAAUAUAGCAUUCUACUUUCUAUUCUUGUUUGUAAUUUUUGUACAUUUGUGAAAUUAAGAAAAUAGAGAAUCAAAAACCAAAAAAUUCAACUCAAGAGCUAUUAUUUAUUGACUUAUCAGAUGAGAUAUUGUAAUUGUUAUAACCUCCAAGAUGACAUAAUCAAGAUAACACAAUCAGAAUGAAGAUCUUUAAGAAUGAUACGUUUUUCUUUGAAUAGAUGGCAAGAUGUAACAUGUUUGGUAUUACAAUAUUAUAAGAGAUUCUUGAUGUUUGGUGGUUUUAUUAGAAAUAAGAAUGACUCUUAAUGGUAUUUUAAAUUUUUUAUUUGAAAAAAAUUACAAAGGCCUCAACAAUUUUCAAAUAAUAUGGUGGUCUUUUUUGCCUUGAUAUGAAAUACUAUCAAUGGUUGAAAAGACCUAUCAACCAUCUUCAAAGAGAACAAAGAUCACAGAAUGUGGUAAUCACAAUUUGUCACAUUUUGGAUUUCUUCAAUAUGUGAUAAUUGCUCCUUGUCGAUUUUAUUUCCAAAAAAAGAGAUAAUAUCAUAGACAUACAUAUUUAUUUAUAUGAUUAAAUAAAAGUUGAUAGAUAUAAAAUUAUUUCAUAAUAUGUUUUAAAAAAAAUUCCUAGAAGCUUUAUAAAUGUUGCUUUGAUUUUAUAUAUAUUUGUAAUUAAUUGGUAGGUUAGAAAAUUGUUCAAUAAAUUAACCAUAUCUUGAUAGCUUACAAAACAAGCUAAUUAUAUAGUGCACAUAUAAAAAACUUGCCUUGCAAGUUAAGAUAUGUGUCUUACAAAGUCAAUAUGUUUUGGAGGUCCUAUUAGGCAUUGCUACAUAACUCUUAUUUAAGAGCAUAUACAAAGGCAAGAGUGAAGUCUUCUUCAUUUUGAUUAAUGCCUUUCUUAUCUUUCAUCUUGUUUCAAAACUUUCUGAUUUUCUUGUCUUUGAUAAUAUUCAUUUUAGUUUAAUGUUAUAUCAUCUUUGAGUGAUUUUUUAAUUCUUUUGAGUGACAUAAGAGUGUAUUUAGGAUUUCUUUCUUUGAAUUUCAUGUCCUUGAUAAUUUGAAAUUGUUAUAGAUCUUCAAAAACUUGUCAAUAUUCUAAAAUUAGAAAUCUCAUAUAUUUUCAAUAUGAAUUAUGAAGUAUUAUUUUUACGCAUAUGGAACAAAUUAACAAUGAAGUUCAAAGUCUAUGCCAAGAAGAAAGAUCAAGCUUAUAACUAAAUCCAAUUUUUUUUUGCUACUACAAGUAUAAUAGAAGCAAUAAUAAAUAUGGUCAAGAAAUUUGAUGGAAAAAAAUCAAAGUUUUAAGGAAUUCUACAAAAAUAUAAAAUUCUAAGGUUGCAUCUUUUCUAAUAACUUGAUUGAUUUACUCAAAUUGGAUUCAUUAAAGUCUUUUUUUUUACAAAUGUUAUUGUAUUAUAUGAAGUCUAUUUAAUAAUUUACCAGAUACAUUGUUGUAGAAAAAAAAAAUAGAACUUACAACAAGAUGAUCCUAACAACUCUAAUAAAAUCCUUAAAAUAAUUUAAUUAAAUUAUAAAAAUAUUAACCAAUCUUUAAUUAAAUCCACAAAAAGUUUCAAGAACUUACAAAAGAAAUAUAAAAAAAUCAUAAAUUAAUCUUAAUAAAAUACAUACAAUAAAAAAAUCUUAAAAAAUAUCAAAAUAAUAAAUCUUAAUUGAAUUUUAAUUAAAUACUAAUGUAAUCUUCCAAAAUUUUAAUAAAAUUUUAGACUAAUUUCAACCAAAACUUUAAUGAAAUCCUAAAUUUUUAACAAAUCUUAAUCAAAUUUUAAACAAAUUUUAAUCAAAUCUUAAUCAAAUCUUAAUCAAAUCUUUAAAAAAUCCUAAUAAAAUCCUAAGUAAAUCUUAAAUUCUAAUCAUAGAUCAAAUUCUAAUAAAAUCAUAAUAAAUCCUAAAAAAAUCCUAAAUCUUAACUUCAGACCAAAUCCAUAUGAAAUCUUAAACUUUAAACAACUUAAGAAAAUUUCAAAUAAAUUUCAUUCGAUUAUUAUAGCUAAUUGAAACCUCAAUAAAUAUUAAUUGAACCAUAUAUCUUGACUAAAAUUUUACUUAUACUUCAACCAAUAAACAAUUAAGAAACAUAUAAAAUUUAAAAAGAAUCAAACUUAUCAAUUAUAAGAAAAGCUUCCAAAACUUCUUAGUUAUUGAUGGCCUUUCUUCUCCCACUUGAAUGCUGAUCUUUUAACAUUGAUUUUUCCUUAUUGAAUCAAUUUAUUUUUCCAAAUAUUGGAUUUUAUGUAUAUAUUCAAGUCUUAAGUGCUUUCACCAAAUUUUGCUUCAAUUUAAUCAGCUAAUAUUGAUAGAUAUUGAAAUCAUUUGCUAAUCCUAAAUCUCAUUUUUUAAAAACUAUAAUCCAUAAAAAUUAUUAUAUUCUUCAAUCUAAUAUCUUCAUUGACUUCAAACAUUUCACAUACAUUUACAACAAGUACAACAAAAAAAAUUCCAAUUUUUAUUAAUACACAUACUAUAAAACUCACAAAAUCUUAAAAUUUGUAAAUUUAUUUUACUUUUUAAAAUAUAAAUCUAUCAAGUACAUCAUUAACUUUGAAAAGCCCUCAAAAUAUCAAUAUUAAUUUUAAUAACAUGAAACCAACACUCAAACCUCUUCUCUCAAGUGUGCUUUCAAAGCUUAUUCUUUAAUUUGCAAAAAAAUGUGAAGUCAUUGUAGGUGCUCGAUUUUUUGCCUUGGAGUCUAAUUUUGACCUUGGUUAUCAAUUGAUCCUCUACAAGUAUCAAUUCUUAUCUUCUUAAGGUAAUUUUUUCUAAUAUCAACUUCUAAUUUUUUUUUAUAUAUGUCUAUAUUCUUGAUUUCUCUUAUCUAUCUUAUUUUGCCUUAUUUAUGGUUCUAUAAAAUAAAUAGAAAUCAUUUUUAUAAAAAAUAAUUCUAAUACUAAUAGAUUUUAUUACUUGCCUAUCAUUUAUCUAUAUUUUUACUAUAUAUUUUUAUUUAGGUUCUUCUAUAAUAAAAUAUUUUCCUUCUUCUUUCACUUUAUGGCCCUAUUAUUAUACAAUAGUGCUCUUUCUUCAUUUGUACCUUUGAUAGAAAAAGAUUCAUGGCUAUUUAUGAUCUGAAUUUAUUUUUAUAAGUAUUUAUGGCUAUAUUUAUAAAAAAAAUUUGAAAAAAGGUAGCAAAGUACAAGCUUGUAUCUCUACAAUAAAGAUCAUAUUUAGCCACUACAUAUAUUGUUGAAUUUCAAAAUCUUACUUAUGACGUGGAUUGGAAUGAUAAAGCCAUUAUUAAUCAAUUUUGAUAUAAAUUGAAAGAUGAUAUUAAAUAUUUAUUUUUGAUAAUACCAAUAAUAGAUUUAUUAGAGUAAAUUAUUACUCAAGUCAUUGUAUAUGAUAAUUAGUUUUUUAAAAGAUACUAAAAAUAAAUAUUUGAUUAAAGAUGUACAAAUUAAGCCAUAGAAAUGUUUUUAAAAUUUUUGAAAGCUUAUUUAUUAAGGCUAGAGUCUAUGCAAAUUGACAAGGUAAAUUUUAAACCUCUUACUGAGCAAGAAAAGAUUUGUCAUUGUUAAGAGAGUUUAUACUUAUAUUGUGUAGAAGCUAGGCACACUACUUAAUAUUUUCUAAAGAAGCAACGCAAUCACAAAAUAAAGAGCAUGGUUGCCAAAGAAAACAAUAUGUUGUAAAAUAAAUUUUUCUAGCUACAAUGAUGACCAUGCAACUGGAAUCAUGUACAACACUUAGUACAAGUCUUAUUCUUUCAUUAGAUCUCUCAUCUUUUUUUACAAUAGAUAUAUAUUUAGGACCAAAAAAUCACAAAUUCUUAGCUUUGUUAGAUUAAAGAGCCUUAUUAUGUUUUAUAGACAAAUAUUUUGUCAAAAAAUAAGAAAUAUUUUUAGUUAAAAAAAACCAAACUUGUAUAUGUAAAAGUAAUAGAUAAUUUCUUUUGUAGCUAUAAAAAAAGACUCAAUUUUUGUUAUAUAUGCCACACCUAUUAUUGUUGAAAAAAAGAUUUUAAAUAAUAUUUCAAGCCAAUAUCAAGAUUAUUAAGACAUUUUGAAAAGAAAAAUAUAGAUACUCUUUUUAAACAUUAUCCUUAUGAUUAUUUUAUUUAACUUCAAGAAAAAGCUCAACCACAAUUUAUACCAAUCUAUAACCUAUCAUAGAAUAAGUUGGAUGCACUCAAGGAGUAUAUUGAUGAGAAUUUGGCUAAGAAUUUCAUAUGCUAUUGUAUUCUAUGAAGUCUUGCUCAAGAAUGCAUCAGUCACCUAGCUAUAGAAGAUAAAAUCAAAAUUACUACAACAAAAUCUUAACUCUAAUAGAAUACUAAAUAAACUCUAAUUAAAUCUUACUAAUGUUAAACAAGAUUUGAUCAAAUUUAAAAGAAAAUUUAAAGUAAUUACAAUAGAAAUAAUAAGAAAUCUUAAUGGGAUUAAAAGAAAAUCCUCCAUAAACCUUAAAUUUUUUUUAAAGAAAUCCUAAAAAUAUUAGAAUAAUUACAAAUAUAUCUUAAAUAAAUCUCAAAAAAGUUCCAAUUUAAUCCUUGUUGAAAUCUUAAUGAACUUCAAUCAAAAUCUAAACAAAUCCUAAAUUCUAAACGAAAUUCUAGACAAAUCCUAAACACUAAAACAAAUUCUAAAAAAAUCCUAAAUCCUAAAUCAAAUCCUAGAAAAAUUCUAAACCAUAAACCAAACCUUAGAAAAAUCUUAAAUCCUAAAUCAAAUCCUAAACUAAAUCCUAAUUCUAAAGCAAAUCGUAACCAAACCUUAAUCAACUCAAUCUAAUUCUAUUACUGUUUAAAACCUUAAUAACUAUCAAUUGAGUUAUUGAUAUUGCUUAAAAAUUUACAUACUUCUCAAAAAUUAAAUUAGUAAUAAGUAUAUGAAAUUUGAAGAUAAUCACAUAUACCAAAGGGAAGAAAAAUCUUAAAAUUUUCUCGAGUAUUGGUUGGCCUCCUACUCCAAUCUAAAUGUUGAAAUUCCAGUGCCAAUAUCUCUCUUUUAAACCAAUUAAUUGUUCUCAAAUUUCACAUAUGUAUAACAAAUCAAGUCUAUUACUUUUAUAAAUAAAUUUUACUCCGAUUCAAGUAGUAGAUUGCUAAAGAUCUUAGAAACUCUAACUGCCUUUUAAAGUCCAAUUUUUGAGAUCUCAACCUACUUGAAAUUCAAUAACCUUCAAUUCAAUAAUUUUAUCAAGCUCAAACUUACAGCAUAUACUCUAGACAAUUAUUUUUAUAAGUCUUCAAAUUUUGAAUCAUAGAUCUAUUACCAAAUUCAUGAAAUUCUCUAAAUUAUUAUAUCCUUUUUUAUUUCAUAGAUUCUAUAGUCACCUAAAAGAAGUGUGACUUUACAAAGCUCUUACAAAAUCAUUACAUACUCAAAUCACUUAAAAUCAUGCCUAAAGAAACUUUUUUAAGUCUAUUCCUUAAUCCUACUUAUUGAUCUGCAAAAAAAUCCCCAAAUUACUAUAGGUACCUAAUUUUAUGCCUCAAGGUCUGAUUUCAAUCCAUAUUGAUAACUGGUCCUCUCCAAGUAUCAAAUUUUGCCCUUUUGAGUUAAUUAUUGCUAAAAUCAAUUCUUUACUUCCUUAUACUUAUGCUCAUAUUCUUUAUUUUUCUAAUCUACUUUGUUUUUUUUUUAUUUAUUUAUUUAUGAACUUACUAAGUAAAUAGAAGCUUACUUUGUAAAAAAGUAGCAUUUACAUCUUUAAUUUUACCUUCUUUUUGGACUAUUGUCUAUUUUUUAAGAUAAAUUGUUAUAAUAUUUGAAGUAAGAUCUUCUAUAAUAUAAUAAUUUUUUCACCCUUUUUACCUAUUAGUCAUAUUAUAUCAUGACAUUCACCCCCUAAACUUGUGCAUCUUCCAACAUGUGCCAAUGAUUCUUUAAUAUAUUAUUAAAGUAUUCUUUAUCAUGGUUAGAUUCUUGAUCUUCAAUUUUCUCUUCUUCUUCUAUCUUAUUGUCUUGUAAUGGAUUUUAUUCUUCGUCAAAAUUAAUAUUUUUAUCUCUUUGUUUAAAUAACUUGAUUAUCUUCUUUACUAUAGGUAUCUUUAUUUUUGUACCAUUAAGUUCUUAUAAAAAGUAUGUUCUAUUGUUGUAUACUUAUUUGACAACAUAAGGCCUAAACUAUCUUCUUGUAAAUUUUUUUAUCGUGCUAUAUUGGUUGUCCAAACUACUAUCAUAAACCAACAUCAAAUCAUCAUUUUGAAUUAGUUUUGGAUAUAAUUGAUGUUUUUUGUCAAAUCUUUCUUUGUUUUUCUCCUUUUCCUCUUUGAACUUCUUUAUAGCUUUCUCAAUGUCCUCAAAUUUUCUUUUAAGUUGUCAAGUUUGUAAUGCUAAUAAUUCUUUUUUUCUUAAACCAUCUUCUUGAGGUAAUAUAUUCUAUAUUGGCAUCAUUGAUUUUUGUCCAUACAUCAAUUCUGCUACCAUGUAUCAUAUAAUUGUACUAUGAGUUAUGUGAUUCGUCUAUAAUGCAAAUGAUAAUAACUUAGGCCAAUCACCUAUCUUGCCUUUGCAUACUUUAAUCAAUGCUUUAACAAUUGGAAAGUGUCCACAUUCACUGUUGUUAUUUUUUUUUAGAUUAUAUGUGGUUGUUACUACGACUUUAAUACCCAUCUUCUCAAAGAAUUCUCCUACUUUAUUUGCAUCUAAUUUCCUUCUAUCUAUAGUAAUUUUUCUAAUAUAAUCAUAUUGACAAAUAAUUUCCUCUAAUAUAAACCGAUAUACCUCUUCCAAAGGCUUUGUUCAAAAUGCUCUUCCCUCCACUUGAUUUAUCAAAUUCUCUUCAGUAAGUAUCAAAUAUUUCUUUUGUCCAAAUUCCAUUGGUAUUACAACUAAAUCAACUAUCAAUUUCUAGUGAAUUGCUAAUGGAUAUGUUGGAUGCAAUCCAUCUCAAUGACAAAUGUUUGAAUAUAUUUGACAAAUCUCACUAGAUCCUAUAAAAUCUGCCAUAUUUUUAUAUAUGCCCUUUCACCAAUAUUUUUCUUUUACCUUUGCAAAUAUUGCCCAAAUGCCUCAAUAUCCGGCCUAUCAACUUUCAUGAAAUUCUUUAAUGAUAUUUAGUUGAGUAUGAUAGCUACAUAUAAUCCAUUGUGGCACUCCGCUCCUUUGCUUUGGAUGCUUCUAUAAAAAUCCAUCUUUAAAAAAAUAUCUAUAAGCUUUCCUCCAAAUUCUUUUAAACUUAUAAUUUGCCAAAUCUUCUUGCUGCUUUAAUGUACUUAAGUACUUUUUAAUAUGCAACCAUUCACCAUCAUAUAACUCUUUUGAAAAUAAUUCAAGUAGUUUAAUUAAAUACAACUCAUUCCUUCUUGCACACAAAGUUGAAUAAAAGUCCGUGCCAAUAUUUUCUUCAUCAUAUCAUGCUCAUGACAACAUGUCUGCAAGCACAUUAUCUUUUUUAAAAAUAUGUUUGAAUUCUGGAUUCAUAGACUUUAUUUAUAUAAUCCAUCUUAACAUUGAUAUAUCUGAUGUAGAAUAAUUACUAAUCAUGCCUAAUAAGCAUAAACAAUCUAUUUCUAUAGCUAACAAUGUAUCAAUCAAGUAUUCUUUUUUAUUUUUCAUAGCCAUUACUAUACAUUAUAAUUUUUUUUUAACUUGUGCAUAUACCUUCUGCUUAGCAUUCAAAAUCUUUGCUUUAAAUCUUACUACAUAUUUAUUUCUUUGUUCAUCAUCUUGUCUAACUAUUCAACCUAUUUCAAUUAGACUCAUAUCAACUGUUAAUAUCACUGACCUUCGACAUUCAUAAUUUACUUUCUUCAAAGUUAGAGGUGAAGAAAGAAGUUCUUUCAAUUUUUUCAUAGUUUUUUUUUGUUUCCCUUUCUAAUGAAAUUUUUGAUUCUUUUGUAACAACUCAUCUAAUGGAUCUGCUACAUAUGCAAAAUGAGAUAUUCAUAUAUAAUAAAAAAUACAUGCUCCUAAAAACCUUCAAAUUUCCGUUGUGUUUAUGCAUUCUUUCAACUUUUUAAUAAUAUUAAUAUUUUUCAUACUUGGCUUGCGUCCAUAUCAUCCACACAUGUAUCCUACCACCAAAACUUUUUUUUAUCCCAAAUAUUGAUUUUGUCCCUGAUAAGAUUAAAUAAUUUUUUUCUAAUCUUGUCAAAAUCUUCUCAUAAUCAUCAAUAUGAUUUGCCACAAACUUCCUACAUCCUAUUGAAUCCAAUAUCUCAUCUUUUUUUUCUUCUUAACAUCCUUUAAUAGUACAUCAUCUAAAAAAUAAAUUAUUAUUUUUAAAAUAAAUUCUCUUAAUAUCUUAUAUAUUCUAUUCAUUAUGUGUGCCAUAGAAUUUGUAACCCCUUGAGGUAAUAUACACAUUCUGACUAAUCCUAAUGGUGUCUUUACAAUUGUUAAAUUCCUACUUUGCAUUGCUAAUUGAAAUUACUCAUAAUCUAAAUAAAGAUUACUUAUUAAAUAGAUAGCUCUUCUAGCAAAUGCUUCUACAAAUUCAUCCAUAAUUGGACUUGAAUCCAUAUUUCUAAUAGUCACUUUAUUCAUAAGUUGGAUGUCUUAUAUAAAUCUCAUUGUUUUAUUUUUCUUUGGCACUAUAAAUCAUCAAUUAAAAUAGGAUACCAUUGAUAGUUCUAAAAUCCUCAUUUUAAUUUUUUUAUUGAGUAAAUCUAUUAGCUUAGAUAAAUGUGCUCUUGGUACUAAAAUUAGUCACAAAUUUCAUAGUUCAUGAGGAAUAGUAAAAAAAACCAUAGGUGUUGCAAUACUUAGAUCGACAUAUCUAAUUUCAUGUGCCUCCAAUGCAGAAGCCUUUCUAUGUCGUCUAAGGAUAUCUUUAAAAUAUAUUUUUUCAAAUUUUGUCAAAAAUCCAUCAUAUCCAACAUUUAAUCCAUGUAAUGUAGUAUCCGUAAAUUCAUGCCCUAUCUUCCUACGAUCCUUUAAAUUUAGUUGUGUAGAUGCUCCAUUUAUCCUUUCUUCAUAAUCUGGUAGUAGUGGCAAAGUCAUUGGUUUGACAUUUUUUGCGAUUGAUUAUACUUAAUUUCAACAUAUUGUUGUGACGUAAUAUGACUAUAUAGAGAAAUUAUAAUCAAAAUUAAAUUUUUAAUUAAUAUGUAAUUAUCUUAGUUCAAUUAUAAUUUUAGGUGUAUAAACAUGGCUUUCAUAAAAGCCUCUUAGGUUAUUUUCUUAUCUUAAUAGUUAAUAAGUUGAAAGUUGGUUAGUAAUUUUACCUUCUAGAUUGUAGAGACACUUCUACUACCUUAAAAAGCCCAUAAAUUGAUAAAAUCAGGUUAAAAGAGGUAAAUAAUUAAUAUAGUUGGUACUAGGAUUAAGUUGAAAGUAGGGUUGGACUAAAAAAUCUUUAGGAUAGGUUAAAUUGAUACCCGGGGGUCGGCCAUUUGUGAGACAAGGUUGAAAUCAGACCUCUCACCACAAAAAUGACGGCCUAGGGCAAAAUAAGGAUUCACUCAAAGAUCGAAGGAUAGUAUUUGAGAGCUAGCUUGAAGUUCUUUCUAGAGACAUAAGGAUUUUUUUUGGAAGGUUUUUGAAAAUUGAGAAAUUGUUCAAAGUCAGGGUUUGUAUUGGUGAUUUGGGUUUUAUAGAAUAUAACUAGGGAUAGCAAUUUUGGCUAGUUCAUGUAAUUAGUCUCACAUCUAUGGUUGAAAAUUUGGUACUAUUUGGAUUAUUAGGUGUGCUAAGUGUAUACAAAAUUUUGUGAUAAUCUAAUGGCGUGCUUUAGAGAUAUCUAGUUUUUAGUGUAAGAGGGUUUUGGAAGUUGGCAGUUUAAGGUUGGGUAGGAUUUUUGUGAUAUAUGGAGAUCAAUGAAAUGGAUUAAGGUGAAAUUUUGCAUGGUAUUGAAGGACUUGAAGAUCAAAUUGCACACCAAUUUUGAGUCAAAGUUAAUGGUUGGAAAGGGAGAAAUCACUACUGGGAUUUCUACUUCACUUUUUAAGUUGGUGGCCAAGUGACAUCAGUGCAAAUUUCGGAGGUUUUCUCACAAUUUAUAAGUUGGAUUGGGCUAAAAAUUCUUGAGCAUAUAGAAGACUUACAUUGACUAUUGCAUGCAAAAUUCCACAUCAAGUGGACGGUCGGAUUGGAUGUUAUAGCUUAUGAAAGCUCACUAAUUAUAGUUGGGGCUUAUAAGAAAAAUCUAAAUUACUUAAAUAUGAAAGUAACAAGAUAAUUGGGAUUUAUGUAUGAUUAAGGCUAAUAAGAAGAGUAUUUUUAGCACUUUUGAAUUGAAAUUCAAAUUAUAUUCUUCUUGUAUGGAUGAAACCUAUUAGGAUUCUUGAAUUCUUGUGAAACACAACCUCACCUUCCACAGUUAGGUGCCUGAUGCAUUCCCAAGGAAGACAACACAUAAUAUGAUAAUAUACCUCUUGGCAAUUUAAAUUUUCUAUAAAUCUAUAGAUUUCAUCAUAAAAUUCUUUAGAACAUACAUUAAUACAUUUAUUCUCUCCUUGCAAUCUAUCUUGCGACAAAUAAUUUAAUUUUCCCAAGAUAUCUGCAAAUGCCACUUCUUCAAAUGUUCCUAAAAUAAAUUCAUUUUCAAUCAAUUCUCCAUUUUUUUUUUCCAAUUUUUGCUCAAUAUUUUUAACAUAUUGUUUAUCCAUCUUCUUCAUCUUAUCAAUAUUCUUAAAAGAUAAUACACAAUUUGGUGUCAACUCAAUCAGCCUAGUAAAUAAUAUUUUCUUUUUAUACUUAGAGGGAGCAUCUUUUUUCUUAACCCAUUGCAAUCUUGUUUUAUAAUGGUGUGGUGAAAAUCCCUCACAUGUUCACCUCUAAAUUCUCUAGUAACCUUUGGCAAAGGUUGCUCUCUCAAACUCCCACAAUUUUUGUCAUGAUUAGCACAUACUGUCCAAAAUUGCAUCAUUUUUGUUCUAUCUUGAUUCCAAGCAUAUGUCAAUCUAUUGUCCUUAAUCUUUGUUUCCAUGCAAGUAGCCGUAAUAUAAGGUUUUUUUAGAAUGAUAGGAUAAGUAGACAUAUCUUGCACAAAGAAGUUUUUCUCAUCACUAAUAUCUCCUAUUAUAACCUAUUAUAUUGAGAAAAGACAUCCUUCUAGAGUGGAUCUCACUGAAAACUUAAGACAUAUGUGCCCUAAGGUCAUGGUCGAAUGUCUCAGCUGUGGGGCAAAGAUCCCAAUGAAGUCCAGCCUGAGCGAUGCCUUGAGGGUAGUAUAUUCAUCCCUGUAUCUCCAUCAGUAUUUCCUGCUUUCCAGGCUUGUAAUUCGUGUCCUGCCUUAUCCCCAGUCCAGAUAGGUGCAUAAACUUUCUUCUGGGUGAUAAGUAUAUUGACUGAUGCCGAACAUUUGCACUGUUUAGCCAGGCUGGUCCUCGCAUCUGCAUUGGCAUCAAAUCGGCGGCCUUGCAUAUGAAGAUGGCCACGGCAGAUUUUUAUGUCGGUUGUCAAGUUCAGAAUUGAUGCGUGGUCACCCUGUGGAUUGCCAACCGACCGCCAACUUUUCCAUACAAAAAAGAACUGCACUGGGUAGAGAGAAGGCAAUGUUUAAAUAAAUGUGUCCCUCGUUUGUUUCUACCCCGCCUUCAUCACAAUAACAAACUUCGUGUGUAUCAGAAUUAGUUCGGAGUUAUGAAAUUUGUAUCUUCAAGCACAAAAAUAGUUCGUGAAAAUCUAACAAAUUUUUAUUUUAUUUAUUUAAUUAUUAAUAACUUGAAUGUGAAUACUAGAUAAUGCUCUCCAGCUUGUAAAUGUCCAUUGUUUAUAUUUUCAAUAUUUAUGUAUACGUGCCAUUCAUUAUACGUAUAUUGAAAAUAUUUAUGUAUACGUGCCAUAUACAAAAGCAUUAUUAAUUGUUGAUUCAGGGUAAUUUAAAAUUAGCAUAUGCUUGGAAGACAACAUAUACUAAAUAAUCCGUACACGGGUUUAGGAACUUACCUCUCAACUGCAAUACAUCGGAGCAAAAGAUGGAUAGCAGAAUAAAAAAGGUGGUUUACGGUGUGUGCUAUACCAAAGCUAUCAGAACUAGGGAAUUAAUUAUAGGGGACUCCCAUUGAAUUUACUGUGAAGGGAAACACUUGAACCUAUGACAAACAUAGAUGAGGAUGCAAUACAAGCUAAUCUUAUCAAAGUCCUCUAAUACUUAAUUACAGCUGGAUCAUAUUUGCUAAAAAUGAAAUAAUGAAUUUAUAGAACCAGAAUGUCCGGGAAAAAAUACGAUUCUAACAUUAUCUGACAUUGCCAACGAAGAAGCUUAAUCAUUCUAAGCAUUCUAGGUAAUGCUGAUCUUGACCAAUGUCAAUGCUUCGACCUACACAAAUAGUCUACAAUAAAUACCUGCUUUCAAUUACCAACUAAAAAAAAAAAAAUCCAGUGGGAGACACAACAGCAAAUGAAUUCAGAAGCCCUCAAUAUCCGUUCUGAGACAACAACACAGAUAUGUAUAUGUACACGAUUAUUCGUCUGAUAACCAACAUCCGUUCUAUCGAGAUUGUGAAGAAUCAACGAGGUGCUUAAGAGUGCAAGGCAUCUUGUUCCACAUAUUCGGUUAGCACAAAUUUUUAGAAGUCAGCCUCAUGAAAGAUAAAUCAAAAGAAACAGCAGGAACCACUUACGUUAAUUGUCAAGAACUCACACUUCCCAACAUCUUCCACAUCCCACCACCAGCAUUCGCAGGUUGAUGGAAGACGUUACGAGCCCACCUCAUGUAAUGUGGGCCACAAAGCCGACAACCCUCAUCUGACAAAGCAAUGCCCCAAGACAAUCUGUACAAAAGGGAUCAAUGCCAUCAUGUAACCGUGCCAUAAAAAAGAUCUUCCAACUUGACUCAUUCAAACCCUGCGAUUCCAUAUAUCCUUGUAAUCAACCAGGUGUCAGACAACGACAUCACAGCCAGCACGCGCAAUAAAAAGUAGGCCACAACUAUAUUCCAAGCAUAAUCGAGUAGCUGACAAAUGCAAACCAACGAACUUACCCCAAACGGCUUACUACGGCAGUACCCUGAAACCGUCAAAUUUUCCAAGGAAACUAUAACAAAGAAAUGUGUGUAUUUAUAUGAAUGCUCCACAGGCUUGAAAUUUUCAAACUACAUUGUACAUAGGACCAACCAGCAAAACUAAGGAUCAAUGUGUCUUCCUAAACCAACUAGAAGUACAUCGAGGAUUCCUUCCAACAAGAAGACCUACUGCAACUGAUCAAGCUCAACAAUGUCUGCACCACAUAUCACUUCCACCUCCUCCGUCUCCUACUCUCCAUUACCCAUCCCCCCUUCCACCCUCCAUUCCAAUCAUCACCAUCCACAUCCACAACUCUCUGCACGCCAAAAUGUAAUUCUCCAAUAAAUAUAACCAUAGCACCACCUCGUCCCUAAAUCUGUUCAGAAUCUAGUGAUUACCGUAUCUCUCUCCAUGGUGCACAUCUUAACCAUGUAGUCUCCACUACUUUACUACACAACAGAGUUCUGAAAAAAUCAAGUGGUAUCGGACAUUCCAAUUCCUACGCAACCAAAAUAAACACAGAAGACCGCCUCCUACCCACUGCUUCCUCUAACUCUCGGCCCUCCCCCUCCUCCCCUACCCCUUCUCCUACACCACACCUACUGGCAGGUCACUCCAUUCCCAUCCGACCACUCGAUCGGCUCCUCGCCGCCUGUGGCUCCACAUUUCUGGACCAUGGUCAUGCAGCCAAAAUCCUGCCGCCUUUACUUUAACACUAGGUCGACACGCCUGCGCCCAUCCCAACACAAUCCCAUCGUCAGCCCCGCAACACAAAUCCCGCCACAAAUCACCCUCCCACCACCACUUCCUUCACGCAUCGCACGCACCUACUACCCGCCCCACAUCUCUACCCAUCAUGCGCUACCUCGACACCGCUCUUACCACUACUCUCCACCAUCU
This 31587-nucleotide long non-coding RNA is filed under the name Physcomitrium patens. RNAcentral describes it as "long non-coding RNA (PPAT_LNC000703)". The record is from RNAcentral. Lineage: Eukaryota; Viridiplantae; Streptophyta; Bryopsida; Funariales; Funariaceae.